GGAGACGGCAGCCUUUGGAGGCAGGGAGACGGCAGCCUUUGGAGGCAGGAAGACGGCAGCCUUUGGAGGCAGGGAGACGGCAGCCUUUGGAGGCAGGGAGACGGCAGCCUUUAGAGGCAGGGAGACGGCAGCCUUUGGAGGUAGACAGGGAGACGGCAGUCUUUGGAGGCAGGGAGAUGGCAGCCUUUGGAGGCAGGAAGACGGCAGCCUUUGGAGGCAGGGAGACGGCAGCCUUUGGAGGCAGGGAGACGGCAGCCUUUGGAGGCAGGGAGACGGCAGCCUUUAGAGGCAGGGAGACAGCACUGAGCACGAACUCGUGAUGCUCGAAGCCGAAGCGAGCUGCUCAGACCACUGCGCUAUGGCAGUUCACAAUGCUCUAGCAAGCCCUGACAAUACUUGAUGGUCUGAGGUCGGUUGAUUUGCAGAGUCUUCCCCCAACCACAGCCCCCUAGGUACGGUACUGCAUUGUAUAGCCUGCAACCACCGCUUCCAGCUUCCCCCUGGGUACGGUACUGCAUUGUAUAGCCUGCAACCACUGCUUCCAGCUUCCCCCUGGGUACGGUACUGCAUUGUAUAGCCUGCAACCACCCCUUCUAGCUUCCCC
Oncorhynchus tshawytscha (Chinook salmon) is the source of this 604-nucleotide long non-coding RNA. Lineage: Eukaryota; Metazoa; Chordata; Actinopteri; Salmoniformes; Salmonidae. The record is from Ensembl.